CGACAGGUGAAAGUGUCACGCCUUCUCUCGGCAGGUGAGUGAUGUAAUGCCGAGCUCUGCAUCCCGCGCGCCGCCGCACACAGAGAGUAGAGUAGAGUAGACUUUAGUUUUCUUCUGCACGUUUCAAGAAACAGGCAUGCACAGUUUGCUGAACGUACCUUCUUCCACGCGGACAUUCUAGGUUUUCCUUGAGCUUGCGGCUACAUGGUGAGGAUGGCAGCGAAGUUUUGAGAGUGCAUGUGCUCUGCAGCUGCGGUGCUCCCUGGAGCUGCUGUAGCGCUUGUCUGCGCCGCUGGAUGGCGGAGUGCAGGACGUCGCACGCUCAGCCGCCAUCAUGGUUAUACAUUUCUGCCGCUGAUAUGUCCGUCGGAAAAGAAGGUAAGAAAGAAGCACUGAAUAAAACUGUAUAUUUAA
This 414-nucleotide long non-coding RNA is filed under the name Sinocyclocheilus anshuiensis. RNAcentral's name for it is "lncRNA (ENSSANG00000036341.1)". Lineage: Eukaryota; Metazoa; Chordata; Actinopteri; Cypriniformes; Cyprinidae. The record is from RNAcentral.